CAAAAACAUCUUUUUUUGUUAGUUUUUAAAGAAGGCCCCCCCCCCACUGACUUUGAGUUGAGGGCCGCGGUAUUUUGACCGUGCAAAGGUAGCAUAAUCAUUAGUUCUUUAAUUGUGAUCUGGUAUGAAUGGCUUGACGAGACAUAAGCUGUCUUAGAGGUAUUGUUUUGUUGAAUUUGGUUUUUAAGUUAAAAUUCUUAGAUGUUUUUAUGGGACGAGAAGACCCUAUAGAGUUUGACAUUUUUCUUGCUUUGUGUUGUUUGUUUGUUUUCAUUUUUUAAAUUUAAUUGAAAGGUUUGGUGGGGGGGAGGGGGGAAAUUUUUUUAACCCCCCUUUGCUUCGUAUAUUUAUUUUAAAUUUGGUUGAACCCUUUAUUUUGAUUAAAAAAAUAAAUUACCUU
This 400-nucleotide ribosomal RNA is filed under the name Acangaobitermes krishnai. RNAcentral describes it as "partial 16S ribosomal RNA". The record is from RNAcentral. Lineage: Eukaryota; Metazoa; Arthropoda; Insecta; Blattodea; Termitidae.